AAAACCUGAAUUUUUGCAUACAUAAAAUAAUCAUAUUAAAGCUACAACUUGAUUAGUGAUGACUAUAUGCAACAAAAUCUAUCAAUUACUCCUUACAGAGCUUUUGAUUAAAACCCUGUAUUCAUCUAACAGCCAUGCAGGAGAAUGGCUAAAGAAAUAGACAAAAAGAUCUUCCCCCUAGCACAAAAAAAGUUUAUCUUCUUACUUAUUUCCUCUGCUGCUUAUGACUCUCCUGUGUCCAUCAGCACAUCCUUCUCCUCAUACUUGACUCCUACCAGGAAUCUUAUUCUUGUCUGUAUGGGAAUCAUAGACAGCAUAUUCAUUGUAUUCCAGGGGACUCAUCUUUGUGCUCUGAUGGAUAUCAAAUGACCACAAGGAACCUUGAUGUCAUCUUCCCAAAUGAAGUGUUCCGAUUCAUCUGUUUUCUUUCUCCCCAGUCCCUUCAUUCCAAUUUUUUUUCCUCAUGAU
This 468-nucleotide unclassified non-coding RNA is filed under the name Hevea brasiliensis (rubber tree). The record is from RNAcentral. Lineage: Eukaryota; Viridiplantae; Streptophyta; Magnoliopsida; Malpighiales; Euphorbiaceae.